AUCACUUCUCUGCAUUUUGGCUAAGAUCAAGUGUAGAUUUUCAAAAGAAAAUCUGUUCUUAUCAGUUUAAUAUCUGAUACGUCUCCCAUCCGGGGACUACAUAUUAAAUAGGGGGAAGUUGUGGCCUAGUGGUUAGAGAGUUUGACUCCUA
The sequence is a small nuclear RNA, 151 nucleotides long. Its record names the gene U2. It matches the Rfam family "U2 spliceosomal RNA". Rfam says of the family: U2 is a small nuclear RNA (snRNA) component of the spliceosome (involved in pre-mRNA splicing). Complementary binding between U2 snRNA (in an area lying towards the 5' end but 3' to hairpin I) and the branchpoint sequence (BPS) of the intron results the bulging out of an unpaired adenosine, on the BPS, which initiates a nucleophilic attack at the intronic 5' splice site, thus starting the first of two transesterification reactions that mediate splicing. The record is from Ensembl.